This 511-nucleotide ribosomal RNA is filed under the name Achalcus vaillanti. RNAcentral describes it as "partial 16S ribosomal RNA". It matches the Rfam family "Bacterial large subunit ribosomal RNA", at positions 1829 to 2597 of the family's 2925-position model. Lineage: Eukaryota; Metazoa; Arthropoda; Insecta; Diptera; Dolichopodidae. The record is from RNAcentral.
GUCUUUUAGUAUAUAAAUUUAAAGUCUAAUCUGCCCAUUGAUAAAAAUUGAAUGGCCGCAGUAUUUUAACUGUGCAAAGGUAGCAUAAUCAUUAGUCUUUUAAUUGAAGGCUGGAAUGAAUGAUUGAACGAGACAUACACUGUCUUAUUUAUAUAGAUUGAAUUUUAUUUUUUAGUUAAAAAGCUAAAAUUUUUAUAAAAGACGAGAAGACCCUAUAGAUCUUAAUAAUUUUUUAAUUUAUUUUUUUAGGUUUAUAUUAAAAUUAAUUAAUAAAAUUAUUUUAUUGGGGUGAUAUCAAAAUUUAAAAAACUUUUGAUAAUUUAUUUUCAUAAAUUAAUGAAUUUAUUGAUCCUUUAUUAUUGAUUAAAAAUUUAAGUUACCUUAGGGAUAACAGCGUAAUUAUUUUGGAGAGUUCAUAUCGAUAAAAUAGAUUGCGACCUCGAUGUUGGAUUAAGAUUAAUAUUAGGUGUAGCAGUUUAAUAUAUUAAGUCUGUUCGACUUUUAAUUUCUU